AGCAUGUGGUUAAUGUAGACGCAAUCGCGCAGAACCUUACAUGGGUUUGACAUCCUGUGAAUCCUUCAGAGACGAAGGAGUGCCUUCGGGAGCACAGUGACAGGUGCUGCAUGGGCUGUCGUCAGCUCGUGUCGUUGAGAUGUUUGGUUAAGUCCAGCAACGAGCGCAACCCUUAUCUUCAGUUGCCAGCAUUUAGAGAUGGGAACUCUGAAGAGACUGCCCCGGUUAACGGGGAGGAAGUUGGGGAUGACGUCAAGUCCUCAUGGCCCUUAUACCCAGGGCUACACACGUGCUACAAUGGUAUGUACAGAGGGCAGCGAGACUGCGAGGUCAAGCCAAUCCCUUAAAGCAUAUCCCAGUCCGGAUUGGAGUCUGCAACUCGACUCCAUGAAGUUGGAAUCGCUAGUAAUCGCGGAUCAGCAUGCCGCGGUGAAUACGUUCCCGGGCAUUGUACACACCGCCCGUCACACCAUGAGAGUUGAUCGUACCCGACGUCGCCGGGCUACCCUUCGGGGGGUAGGCGCCUAAGGUAU
Molecule: ribosomal RNA, 533 nt
Filed under: uncultured organism
Description: bacterial SSU rRNA
Rfam family: Bacterial small subunit ribosomal RNA
Source: RNAcentral